This is a non-coding RNA of Pelobates cultripes (western spadefoot toad), 286 nucleotides long. NCBI's taxonomy places the organism in Eukaryota, Metazoa, Chordata, Amphibia, Anura, Pelobatidae. The record is from the annotation of a GenBank genome assembly.
AAUAAAGAUAAUAAGUAUAAAUAAAGGCAAGUAGCAAAGGGAGAGAGUGUAAUCAUUAAAUCUGUCACCUAAAAUGUACCUUUCUCCUAUUGUUUAAUCUUCUCUUCCUCUCUCCCAAUCUGUUCCUAUUUUCUUCAUAUCUGAUCUUACUCAUUAAAACAAAGUAGGGACCACUUUAUCCUAUUUAUUUUUACUACGCCUUAUAGACAAAUCACCAAAUAUUAAUCACAAGGAAAGAAAUGGAACCUGAAUUGCUUGUUGGAUGAAAAUUUGUCUGUGGAAUUUG